This 484-nucleotide ribosomal RNA is filed under the name uncultured bacterium. Its description in RNAcentral is "partial 16S ribosomal RNA". It matches the Rfam family "Bacterial small subunit ribosomal RNA", at positions 28 to 507 of the family's 1533-position model. The record is from RNAcentral.
AUUGAACGCUGGCGGCAUGCUUUACACAUGCGAGUCGAACGGCAGCGCGGGCUUCGGCCUGGCGGCGAGUGGCGAACGGGUGAGUAAUACAUCGGAACGUGCCCAGUAGUGGGGGAUAGCUCGGCGAAAGCCGGAUUAAUACCGCAUACGACCUGAGGGUGAAAGCGGGGGAUCUUCGGACCUCGCGCUAUUGGAGCGGCCGAUGGCGGAUUAGCUAGUUGGUGGGGUAAAGGCCUACCAAGGCGACGAUCUGUAGCUGGUCUGAGAGGACGACCGGCCACACUGGGACUGAGACACGGCCCAGACUCCUGCGGGAGGCAGCAGUGGGGAAUUUUGGGCAAUGGGCGAAAGCCUGAUCCAGCAAUGCCGCGUGUGUGAUGAAGGCCUUCGGGUUGUAAAGCACUUUUGGCGGGAACGAAAAGGACUGUGCCAAUACCACGGUUCGAUGACGGUACCCGCAGAAUAAGCACCGGCUAACUACGUG